GGACGCCUGCGGCGCGGAUGCUGUGUGCUGUGGACCCACCUGGGGUUCAUGGAGUGGGCCACGGGGCCCAGCCCUAAGCACUGCUGCGCCCAGGGUCACCGUGCCUCCUGCUGAGGGGUCCCCGCGCCACUGGCUCUCACCAUUGCCCUCGCCUGCCGAUGGCCUCUGCUGCCCAGCCUGGGGCCAGCUCUACCGCCUGAGCCCCCUGCCCCACUCCAGGACUCACCGUACCCCGAUGGGGUAACGUGACACAGGCCCCGCACGUCAGAGGCCGCUGUCCCCACGGCCACUGCCCGUGACCCCUGGCCCAAGGCAGCUGGAGUUGGUUCAGUUCAAGUUCAUUCUUUCUCUGGCCCUUGGGGGCUUGGGGCCCACCUCUGAGUGAAGGGGGCUGUCUGCCCAUCCACCAAUGUGGAGAGGGCGCCCCCGGCGUGGGGUCCAGCUCUGGACACUGCUUGGCGGCCGGGUUCACUUUGGGUUUUUAAGUUUUCUUUGCUGAGCUUUUUUGGUUGUUCUUUUUAUUUUUUGCCUCUUUAUGACUAUCCAGCUCUGAGAGACGGGAGGUUGGAGUUGCCCG
Molecule: long non-coding RNA, 577 nt
Filed under: Pan troglodytes (chimpanzee)
Lineage: Eukaryota; Metazoa; Chordata; Mammalia; Primates; Hominidae
Description: long non-coding RNA NONPTRT016865
Source: RNAcentral